RNAcentral lists this non-coding RNA (92 nucleotides) under human gut metagenome. Its description in RNAcentral is "SAM riboswitch (S box leader)". It matches the Rfam family "SAM riboswitch aptamer (S box leader)". Rfam says of the family: The SAM riboswitch is found upstream of a number of genes which code for proteins involved in methionine or cysteine biosynthesis in Gram-positive bacteria. The SAM riboswitch acts at the level of transcription termination control. The record is from RNAcentral. RNAcentral also lists the same sequence under 1 other name.
GUUAUCAAGAGUGGUGGAGGGAAUAGGCCCUAUGAAACCCAGCAACCUGCCAAUUGGAAAGGUGCUAAAUCCUACGGGAAACCGAAAGAUAA